GGGUUAGUAACAGUAAAACACUGAAGCAGGGCUGGAUGGAACUGGAACCAGUAAAGUGUGAGCUGUGCUUUAAGAAGCUGCAGUGCAGAGAAAGGGUCGGGAUCACGGGGGUCGCUGCAGUCAACAACGUGACAUAACAUGUGUUCCUCAUAAUCUCUGGCCCCGUUCCCUCUCUCCUCCGCCGUCUAAUUUUAAUUUCACCCAUGCAAGAAACGACUCCUCCACAUCCACAGCCUCGCCCCACUGUAAAAGAAAGACCCUUCCCAUUUUCUCCUAAUAAAUCUUUAAAAUAUCAUUAUUAGUAUUUGCUGCUUCAAAACAUUUAACUAUUUCGAGUUCCCAUUUUGCCAUCAUGUACAAGAAUAUUCUAAGUCAUUAUAUGCGAUUAUGUGGUGUACUGUGAGUAAAAAAUCUGUUGUGUGUCAUCAACUCAUCACCACGGGGCCACGCUACCAGAAGAAGAAGGAGAAGAAGAAGCAAGAAAGGAGGGCAUGAAUAUACGUUGGCCAG
Molecule: unclassified non-coding RNA, 510 nt
Filed under: Hevea brasiliensis (rubber tree)
Lineage: Eukaryota; Viridiplantae; Streptophyta; Magnoliopsida; Malpighiales; Euphorbiaceae
Source: RNAcentral